UAUAUAACUAUUAACUACCAAUACCAAUACCAAGUACACAAAAUAAUUUUGUUGGCCUCAUUCAUUCACCAUUGUUGUUUGUUGGUAGCAUAAUCACUGGAUAUCACUCCCGAAAUGAAUCCCAUAUCUCGCAUGCAAUACUAGCUCUGAUGACUUAUACUAUAUAUUGAGAUGGAUUCCCUGCCAUGAAUCUUCAAACUAAUGGUGUUGAGAUGAUCUUGGAGCUAGUUAAUUAAUGGGGUACAUUUCGGGAGUGAGAACCAGUGAUUAAGCCAGUACUACACUGCAUAAUGCUGCUGAUGAAACUUCUUGAAUAUUUAUGGGGACUAAAACCAGAAUUCGCUAAUAUUAUAGGGACAAGGAAAGAGGAAAAAGGAGGGUAUGCGGCAGUAUCGAGAAAAGGGUUGUGGGACUCUGUGAUAGUUGAUCUGGGUUUGGACCUUAAUGUUUUGGCUUCAGUGAAAUUAGUUUAUGAAAAAUAUCUGAGUGAUUUCGAAGGUUGGCUCAGCAAAACUUCCGAAGAAAAGAGUUUCAAAAAUUGGAAUGGUACAACUUGCUGAUAUGUUGGCCCAAAUAAAUGAGAUUGAAAAGAAGGUUGAAGGUACGAUGAGAAAAGGGUUGUGGGACUCUGUGAUAGUAUGAUUUUUUUAAGCAAAAGAAUCGAGUAAAAGGAAGGCUGAUAUGUAUGUCUGGACACACACUAGCUCAUAUGAUUUUUUUUUUAAGCAAAAUAAUAGAGUACA
Medicago truncatula (barrel medic) is the source of this 743-nucleotide long non-coding RNA. RefSeq lists it as uncharacterized. Lineage: Eukaryota; Viridiplantae; Streptophyta; Magnoliopsida; Fabales; Fabaceae. The transcript is spliced from 4 exons. The record is from RefSeq and is a predicted model, not a curated record.